UUUCGUUUGGGACGGAGGGAGUAUUAUUUUUAAAGUACACAAACUACAAAUAAAAUAACAAAAAAUAAAAAAAUUGUUAAAAAAUUACAAAAAAACUACAAUAUGGAGAAAACAAUAAAACUGACUAAAUUAUUUUAUACUUGAAUCAAAAUUUAUAAAUAAAUUAAUUUUUAAAAAAAAUUAACCUUAUUUUUGUCCGGACAAAUUUUGUCCAAAUAGCACUACUCA
Molecule: long non-coding RNA, 228 nt
Filed under: Salvia miltiorrhiza (redroot sage)
Lineage: Eukaryota; Viridiplantae; Streptophyta; Magnoliopsida; Lamiales; Lamiaceae
Description: long non-coding RNA (SMIL_LNC003796)
Source: RNAcentral